AGAUUCCAGAGGCUUCUUUUCUGUGGGCGUGGCCAAGGCAGCGGGGGUUUAUGACAAAGUUGAGCGACCUCAUGUCACUCAAACCAGCUGUAUUAAGGAAGGUGCAAGCUUUUGGGAUUUCUGUUUGGAUUUAGUUUAGGUUCAAAAGAGCACGCACAGAUCCUGAGUGUUGUCAAGCACCCGUGACUGGGAAACGGAGGCGUCCGAUCCGUAUUGGAGUCAAUUCGCCACUUAAUUGAACACAGCCUCGAAGGGAAGGGCCAUAUUUGUGGGCCUGUCUAACAAUUAAGAGUGACCACAUGGAAUGGGGGAUGAAAGGGUUAAAGAAGAACAAAUAUUGAACACAGCUUUUCUAUGAACAAACUGCAGGCAGCUGCUGCUUUGCAAGGGAAGCAGUUGAUUGAGAAUAAUGGUUCUGUUUUGGAGGUUGAUGGAAGAUGCCCUUUGGCCAGGAAAACAGCUCAUGCUUUUAGAGGAGGAUAAUUGCCAGAAGGCCUCUCUGAAUAAAAAAAAAUCCUGACCUCACAGCCUUUGCGCUUACUUGGGUUAGAAUGCCACAGUGAACAUUGCCCCUUGUCAUCACGUAGAGGUGCUCACAGGUAAAGCAACACAAGGAGCAUAUAGGAUCACCUGCUGGAUCUUGUUUUUAACACCAGGGAGGAAAAUGGUGUCUUGGGUAAUGAACAUGCCUCAAGACUGAGCUGGCCAUCUUCAGUGUCAUCCAAACCCUCAGUGGCCCCUGAAAAACCCUUUGAAAAGAUUCAGCACGUUGCCAUGGAGAACAUCCCACUGAAGGAAUGUAUAGAAGUAGCAGGGUUAACUGAGUGCCUUCCAUCUUCCCUCCAAGGGAUCUGCAAUGAGAUGGGAGAAGGCAACAGGCUGUGUGGGAACCACUGAAGCUGGGAUGGCAGGGAAAGAACAUCUUAGGCUAACUCUUCAAGCCUUGCUGUCACAUUUGCUUUUGAGUCUAUGGUUCCUUAUUAUUUUGGAAGGGUCUGAGAACCCACAGGGCACCCUGGGUCAUGACUCAUGUGACUGAGGAAGCACACAGAUCUGUGGAUCUCCAAGUCUAGAUGACAGCAAGCUAACAGGACACUGUUUAUGACAUAUAUAGCCCCCCCCCAACCCCUGCAGAUUUCAAAUAGGUUCUGACAAAGCUUUGUGGUAUCUGAAGGGUAGAUAGAGAAAAUAAGUGUAUCAUUUUGGUUUCUGUUUCUGCAUUACAGGUGUCAGCUGCCUACCAGUUGCUUUCAUCUCUAGAAAUCUGUGACUUGCAGUAUGACAAGAACAAAAGGUGACAAUACAAAGGACAAAGGGCAAGGAAUACAGACGGAGAAGCCGCUUAGAGUCUAGGAUGGCAGAGGUUCUCUUGAUCAUUUCAUUUUUGAGCGCUUGUAGAGCUUUGGUGUACCAGAGGUGCUUGAACAGCUUACCACACCACAGAUGAAUGGCCUUUGGAUUUCUCCUAAGAAAAUGUGGCUACCUGAAAUUCAACUCCAUUUUCUGGUCUUCAAUAUUUCUUUUGUGUUCAGUUUGCCAGCUGAGGAGAAGUGGCUAAGCAUAGCCUGUUACUGAUGCUAAAGCCCAAGUUCUGAACCUAACAACUCCAGCAACAUGAUCCUGUUUCAA
Molecule: long non-coding RNA, 1629 nt
Filed under: Mus musculus (house mouse)
Lineage: Eukaryota; Metazoa; Chordata; Mammalia; Rodentia; Muridae
Description: predicted gene 14461
Source: RNAcentral